UACGGGGGGAGCAAGCGUUGUUCGGAUUUACUGGGCGUAAAGGGCGCGUAGGCGGUCGUGACAAGUCACUUGUGAAAUCUCCGGGCUUAACUCGGAACGGUCAAGUGAUACUGUCGGACUAGAGUACAGAAGGGGCAACUGGAAUUCUCGGUGUAGCGGUGAAAUGCGCAGAUAUCAGGAGGAACACCAAGUGCGAAGGCAGCUCGCUGGGACGUAACUGACGCUGAGACGCGAAAGCGUGGGGAGCAAACAGG
RNAcentral lists this ribosomal RNA (254 nucleotides) under uncultured bacterium. Its description in RNAcentral is "partial 16S ribosomal RNA". It matches the Rfam family "Bacterial small subunit ribosomal RNA", at positions 524 to 776 of the family's 1533-position model. The record is from RNAcentral.